Molecule: ribosomal RNA, 271 nt
Filed under: uncultured archaeon
Lineage: Archaea
Description: partial 16S ribosomal RNA
Rfam family: Archaeal small subunit ribosomal RNA
Source: RNAcentral
CUGCGCCACAAGUGGCAAUCACGAUUAUUGGGCCUAAAGCAUUCGUAGCCGGUUAGAUAACUCUUUUGUGAAAUUGUUGGGCUUAACCUAACAACGUGCAAGAGAAACUGUUUAACUUGGGACUGGGAGGAGGUAGGAGUAUUCCGGGGGGAGCGGUUAAAUGUUUUAAUCCUCGGGGGACUACCGGUGGCGAAGGCGCCUACCCAGAACAGAUCCGACGGUGAGGGACGAAGGCUAGGGGAGCAAAACGGAUUAGAUACCCGAGUAGUCC